CAACACUACAAAACGUUAGGGCAAAUAAAUUUUCUCCCUUUUUCGUCUCGUUCCCUUCUUCCGCCAUGCGAGAGGGCCAACAUCGCCUCAUCCUUCUAUCGGUGACAAGCUACUCCGGCGCCGGCCUUUAGGAAAUCCGGUUUGAAAGAAGAUUGGCUUACGGGUUCAUUUCUAUGAUUGUAAAGGCUAUUAUCUUUUUAUUUUGAGAGCUGACGGGGAUCUGUUGCUGCAAAAUAUUGGCAUGAUGAAUAACUUGCUCUCAGGAGCUUUUCAAUGAAAUUGCUUACUCAGUUUGGUACAUUUUUGGAUCUGGUGGCUAAUAAGAGUUUUAUUUUUGGUCCGGAAAUCAGGCGCAAAGGAAAUUGGAAUCGUAAUUCUGUACCGGAGUAAAACCGUGACACAUGCCGCGCCAUUUGAGCAUAAAAGUUGCGGUUUUGGCGCAGUUCAUUCCGCGCCAAUUCCUCAUUUUUCUGACAUAUUUACAAAAUGAGCUAAACAAGAUUCCCCCUGAAGGGUAGACUCCGGCUGUUCGGGAGACUCUAUACCGACGGGCUCUUGGGGGAAAAAGCAAGAAGCACUCAAAGGUUGACAGUGCUACGAGUUCAGGUCAUCCCCUCAAUGAAGCAACUAGUUUAAUAGAUAUUGUAGCAUUCCAGCAAGGGUGGGAAAAAAUGCAUAAUGGGAUAUCAGAGUUGACGGCAACGAUGACUAAGUUCAAAAAUAUCAAGGCUGAUGUGUAUCCAUUCAUGCACGAAAACUCUAUAGCAGUUACUGGCCCAUUUGAAGUAGUCGUAAUAUCCGUACUUUGCAUAAUUGUGUCCUAUGUUCUUUGGAUGGCUAAGGAAUUCACUAUGGUCUGCUUAUACUACUUGAUUGGCCACAACUCGUAUUGAUACGGUCUCUGAGCUUCUCAGGCCUGUUUCCAAAUCACCUAUGACGGUAUGAAGUCUUCUAAACAUGAAGUUAACUAGUAAUCCGUGCAGUGUCAACUUUAGGCCAAUUCUCUUGGCCAACUAUGUUUCUAACUCAUUUGUAAUGUCUAUUGUAGGUCGGUACCCGUGUGCUUAUAUUAUCUUGUACUAGAUAAAAAAAAAAUUUUGCUAAGGGACUUGUGCUCUGCCCCCCGUGCCUGGUUCGUGGCAUUGUGCCUUGAGAUUUUUCUUUUAAAUCCUUCAAUAUGAUGUUCAUACCGCAUCGUCGAUGUUGUGACCAUUCAGGUCUCAUUGUGCAGAUGAUCAUGGUUUUCUUGAGUCUGCGCAUAUUCAGUUUGACAUACGUGGUAGUUAGAAUAUUAUGUAUACGUAGGCUGUUAAUGCAGGGGCAGUGGCUAUGUUGGUAUUAUGUCAAUUCUGUGUUGAUCUUAUAUUUUUUAUCGUUCACAUGACAUUGUUUAUGGCUAUGUUCCUAUUACCCUAUUUAGGUGCACAUUGUAGUGCCAAAAUUGAUAAAUGUUGGCCUUAUUAUUGAGUAUCUUGUAG
Andrographis paniculata is the source of this 1478-nucleotide long non-coding RNA. RefSeq lists it as uncharacterized. NCBI's taxonomy places the organism in Eukaryota, Viridiplantae, Streptophyta, Magnoliopsida, Lamiales, Acanthaceae. The record is from RefSeq and is a predicted model, not a curated record. The transcript is spliced from 6 exons.